RNAcentral lists this ribosomal RNA (497 nucleotides) under uncultured bacterium. Its description in RNAcentral is "partial 16S ribosomal RNA". It matches the Rfam family "Bacterial small subunit ribosomal RNA", at positions 28 to 507 of the family's 1533-position model. The record is from RNAcentral.
GACGAACGCUGGCGGCGUGCCUAAUACAUGCAAGUUGAGCGCUGAAGGUUGGUACUUGUACCAACUGGAUGAGCAGCGAACGGGUGAGUAACGCGUGGGGAAUCUGCCUUUGAGCGGGGGACAACAUUUGGAAACGAAUGCUAAUACCGCAUAAAAACUUUAAACACAAGUUUUAAGUUUGAAAGAUGCAAUUGCAUCACUCAAAGAUGAUCCCGCGUUGUAUUAGCUAGUUGGUGAGGUAAAGGCUCACCAAGGCGAUGAUACAUAGCCGACCUGAGAGGGUGAUCGGCCACAUUGGGACUGGGACACGGCCCAAACUCCUUCGGGAGGCAGCAGUAGGGAAUCUUCGGCAAUGGACGGAAGUCUGACCGAGCAACGCCGCGUGAGUGGAGAAGGUUUUCGGGUCGUAAAACUCUGUUGGUAGAGAAGAACGUUGGUGAGAGUGGAAAGCUCAUCAAGUGACGGUAACUACCCAGAAAGGGACGGCUAACUACGUG